GUUCUGGCAGCAUUCAGUAGUUACUUCCAGUCUUUGUUCGAUGUACUAAACAGAAAAGGCCUUGUUGUUGCUGUAAGUGUAAGACUGAGUGACGGAGACAAGAAUCUCAAGGCCUCUGCAUUUGCCCAGCUCUUGGAUUACCUGUACACUGGCAGUAUUCGGGUUACUAAACAAAGUGCGGCGAACAUCAUGCAUGCUGCCAAUGGCAGGUACUUCAACUUCAAAGAGGUCAAGCAGGCUUGUAUAAAGUUACUCCAGAACACAGGAACAACAGCAGAUAAUGGUACAUGUACCAUAGUCCAGAAUUCAGGAACACUGGCAGGAAAUGGUACCAUAGUCCAGAAUUCAGGAACACUGGCAAGAAAUGGUGCCAUAGUCCAGAACUUAGGAACAGUUGCAGGAAAUUGUACUGGUACAGCAAAUGGUAUUAUAGUCCAGAAUUCAGGAGCACAAGCAGGAAAUGGUGCCGUAGUCCAAAACUUGGGAACAGUAGCAGGAAAUGGUGCUGGUACAGGUACAGGUGAUGGUACUAUAGUCAAGAAUUCAGGAACACUGGCAGGAAAUGGUACCAUAGUCCAGAAUUCAGGAGCACAAGCCAGAAAUGGUACCAUAGUCCUGAAUUCAGGAACACAAGCAGGAAAUGGCACCAUAGUCCAGAAUUCAGGAACACAAGCAGGAAAUGGUACCAUAGUGCAGAAUUCUGGAGCAGUGGCAGGAAAUGGUACCAUAAUCCAGAAUUCAGGAGCACAAGUUGGAAAUGGUACCAUAGUCCAGAAUUCUGGAGCACAAGCAGGAAAUGGUACCAUGGUCCAGAAUUCAAGAGCACAAGCAGGAAAUGGUACCAUGGUCCAGAAUUCAGGAACACUGACAGGAAAUGGUACCAAAGUCCAGAAUUCAGGAGCACAAGCAGGAAAUGGUACCAUAGUCCAGAAUACUGGAGCACAAGCUGGAAAUGGUACCAUAGUCCAGAACUCAGGAACACUAGCAGGAAAUGGUACCAUACCCCAGAACUUGGGAAUAGGUGCAGGAAAUGGCCAUGGUACUGGUACAGGAAAUGGUGGCAUAAUCCAUAAUUCAGGAGCACAAGCAGGAAAUGGUACCAUAGUCCAGAACUUGGGAAUAGAUGCAGGAAAUGGCACUGGUACAGGAAAUGGUAUUAUAGUCCAGAAUUCAGGAGCACAAGUAGGAAAUGGUGCCGUUAUCCAGAAUUCAGGAACACAAGCAGGAAAUGGUACCAUAGUCCAGAAUUCUGGAGCACAAGCAGGAAAUGGUGCCAUAGUCCAGAAUUCUGGAGCACAAGCAGGAAAUGGUACCAUAGUCCAGAAGUUGGGAACAGUUGCAGGAAAUGGUACUGGUACAGGUAAUGGUACCACAGUCCAGAAUUCAGGAACAAUGCAAGAAAAGUGUACCAUACCCCAGAAUUCACAAAUGCCAACAGAAAAAUGUACCAUACCCCAGAACUUGGGAAUAGUUGCAAGAAUACUACAGGACUUAGGAACAAUGGCGAAAAAUGGUGCCACACUCCAGAACUCGGAAACAAUGGUGAGAAAUUCCCACGGAGAGGAAACAGAUGCACCGGCCUCUAGAUCUAACGAUGUCAUACAGAAAACUGUUAGCAUCAAUAGCAAUGAUGGCAUCCAUGGGGAAAAGAGUUUACAUGGUGGUGCAACCUACAAGCAAAAUGAAGUGUAUACAUCAGCAGACAGCAGCCAAAGUACUCCUCUACAAAAUGCCAGCUGUAACAAAGAGAAGCAGAAAGUUCCAACACGUGAGGAAGCUUGUAAGCCUCUCAGCAAGACAUUUGAGUCAAACUCUAUGCAAGAUACUUCUUCAGAUGAUAAUAAUGUUUCAUCAAGCUGUACCAAGGUCAAGGUAAAAGAGGAGGUACAGGAGUUCCCGUGCUUUAGUCAGUUGCCAUGGACACAUGAUGUGCAGAAGAAAGUACUAGAUGCAGAUGUAUAUCCAUUUGACAGCAACCCAAAGGGAAUAAAAGCCAGAGAAGAGGAUUUGAACCAGUUUCUUCUGAAUGAGCUUGAGAUGGAACUGGGAGGAAUCCCAGCCAUGGAAGAUCUGGACGAGGAUCCCAUUGUGAGCACAUCAGGUUGGAUGGAGGAGGAUCCAGAUUGCUCUGAAGGUGAAAGGUCAGAGGUAAGGUCAACAAUCGACUCUGACACAGACUGUGGUGAUAGUGAAGGGGGCAGGAGGAAGAGAAAAUGGUCUGAAGAGACGUUUCAGGGUAAAAAGAGAUCAAAGAGGAACAUGGAAACCUCAGAUGUGCACACAAGUGAUAGCAGCAGUGCACUGGACAGCCACUCUCCUGCAAAUUACUAUCCUUUGUUCAUGUCAAGACAACCUUCAGCAGAGAGUAAAAUACCUGGUUCUUCUCCUGUUAGAAAGGAUGUGGAGAGAUCCAAAAUGCCAAGCAACCCCAUCAUGUUCUUUGGAGACUUUGGUACCACCCAGGACACAAACCUGCAGGGUACCGUUCAUGUGAACAAACCAACAAACAUGCAAAUGGCAGUUAUGUCAAAGAGAGGAGCCUUUCCUCACUCGCAGAUUUCACAGCACAAAACAGUCCACAACCCCACCAUUGGGGUUAAACCGAGAAGUGUUUUCAUGUCAUUCGGAGACAGAGUUGUCGCUCGAGAUCUAGAGGUUACACAAACAAGCCGACCCACGUGAAAAGGACUGCUGAGUUUUGGAAGAGAAAAGCAGUGUGCAUAUUACUCAGAGCAUUCAAAAGUGAAGGCCAUCAAUAUCAUGAGCCCCAGCUUGUUUCUGCUUACCAGUCCUACCUGGCAAAAUAUUUAUCCGGCCUAAGCAGUUAUUUUUGCAGGGAUUUAAUUUUGCAGUUGAAUAGGAAAUGUGUUUUUGUUGCAAUAUUUUAAGUUUGUGGUUGAACCACUUCUGUAGUACUGUACAGUAAAAUAUGUUGGACAUGUAUGCUGUUAAUUCUUGAAUUUUUGAGGUUUUAUGUUCAAGUUUAUGCUGUGAAACAGUACUUGCUUGUGUUUCUAUUGAUGCACAGGUAUAUGUGGUAGUAUUCUAUCAGACUUGCAUUUAAAUAGUGUAACAAUUUUUGUCUCUCUCUAUCAUAGGUUGGACAAUCCAUUAUAAAGUGGAAUUCAUUCAGAAUAUCAUCAUGGCAUGUUGGACACAGUCUCUCAUUGGCUGGUGUGUUAUAGUAUCUUAUGACCUUUUUCGAUUUGUAAUGAGUGGGCACUGAUUCUUAGUUUUGUAAUGAUAUUUCUAAAAGAUUCGUUGAUCUAAAUUGUUAAAGGGUAAUUUUCAAGACAGAAGUCUGCAGUAGGUGCUAGGUUUGCUUAGACUUCUUAUUUCUUGUCUCCAGUCAAAGAGAAACGUGUCUAUCUGGCGGUUUUUGAAUAAAUUUUCAAACUGGUUACCAUGUAACGUUACAGAACUUUUGUGUGUUUCAGACUUAUGUAUUCUUGUUUACACUUUUCUGUAACGUUAACGUUAGAUGUUUGUUUCUAAUGUGUUUAUAGGAUAAAGGAUAGACGACCUGAAUGAGGUCUUUCAUUUAAGAUCUUUAAACAUCUUUUUAUUCAUUUUACGUGCAUUCGAAGAAAAACACAUGAUUAACGUUAAUAAAGCGAAGGAAUACACUGAUUUAUUUCGUAUUUCCAUUUCAUAUCACAGAGCUUUCAUCUUGUAGCCUUCAUUUUCUUUCAUUCCGCAUUCUUAUAACUAUAGUAAAUCGUAAAAAUGACAUGAAAUUGAUAAUAUAAGUUCGCCCCCCUCCCACACUUGGGGUUUGUUUACAUUUUGCACUUGCCGCCGCGCGGUUGCCAGGGAAUCCCUCGAUAUGCAAAUUUUAGAACGUACCAUUCCAUUCGACGAGGUUGUAGUUACCUUUUAUGAUUAGAGUAUUUAGUCCACGACUUCAUCGUAGAAAGGCAAGGAUUCAUUAUUCGUCUUCGUACACAAUACACAUCAAUAGAUACUCUGUUGAAGCGUCAGAACGAUCGGCAUGCGGUGUAAAAGUUGUCCGAACUUUUUCGUUCAUCCCCACACAACAUGAAGUGGACUCGCCGCGGCGCACUUAGCAACGCUCCGGGCGACUACCUCAUCAUUCCGCACUUGGACGCCGUCGUAGGUGGUCGUCAAUUUGCCAGAGCAGCGUACACAACCACAACCCCUUCUGAAAGUGUAAAUGCUAGGAACCCUGGGCAGGGCCGCUUUGCGGGGCCUGACGGGGGCGCGGUCAGUCAACAUGCUGGCAGCCCCCCAGGCCCCCCCUGCCCAGGUGUUCACGAAGAUUUUCUCCAACAUCCCAAGUCUUCCACCAGCGAACAACAUCACGCUGAAGAAGAUUGCGGAAUAUGCUAUGAUUUCAACAGGCACUACCAUCUGUGCCGUAGAAGCAUACAUGUUCUUUAAUCGGAACAAGAAGACGAUCGAAACCGAAGACAAAUCAACAUCGGCAGACGCACCAGCAAGGAAGGCACCUACCUACCCCUGGAUAGGGGUGGGGCCAGGCUACCAACAAGGGUGGUAAAGAGAAUUCUUCAGGAAUACCUGGGA
RNA transcript from Branchiostoma floridae (Florida lancelet), 4545 nucleotides. RefSeq lists it as uncharacterized. Lineage: Eukaryota; Metazoa; Chordata; Leptocardii; Amphioxiformes; Branchiostomatidae. The transcript is spliced from 5 exons. The record is from RefSeq and is a predicted model, not a curated record.